AACGAACGCUGGCGGCGUGCCUAACACAUGCAAGUCGUGCGAGAAAGUUCCUUCGGGAGCGAGUAAAGCGGCGCACGGGUGAGUAACACGUAGGUAACCUGCCCCCCAGUCUGGAACAACUAGAGGAAACUCUAGCUAAUGCCGGAUGAGACCACGAUCCCUUCGGGGUUGCGGCCAAAGAUGGCCUCUACUUGUAAGCUAUCGCUGAGGGAUGGGCCUGCGGGCCAUUAGCUUGUUGGUGAGGUAACGGCUCACCAAGGCUGUGAUGGCUAGCUGGUCUGAGAGGAUGACCAGCCACACUGGGACUGAGACACGGCCCAGACUCCUACGGGAGGCAGCAGUGGGAAUAUUGCGCAAUGGGCGAAAGCCUGACGCAGCGACGCCGCGUGGGUGAUGAAGGCCUGGUCGUAAGCCUAGUCGCAGGGAAGAAGUAAGAC
Molecule: ribosomal RNA, 437 nt
Filed under: uncultured bacterium
Lineage: Bacteria
Description: bacterial SSU rRNA
Rfam family: Bacterial small subunit ribosomal RNA
Source: RNAcentral